CAACUACAGAAGAUGACACGGCUCGACCGCCUCUCCUUCAGCAUGAAGAAUCAGGUGCUACCCCGACUCAGGAGACAGUUGAGUCGGAUCUCUUGUACACAGUGGAAGACGUUCCUCCCUGGUAUAUGUCCAUCUUCUUUGGAUUUCAGCACUACCUGACGAUGGCGGGGGGGACAGUGGCCAUCCCGAUCAUCAUCGCCUCGUUCCUCUGUCUGCAAGAGGACCACCCGGCUCGUGGGACCCUCGUCUCCACGGUGUUUUUCCACUCCGGCAUCGUCACUCUACUGCAGACAACG
Molecule: long non-coding RNA, 296 nt
Organism: Penaeus chinensis
Lineage: Eukaryota; Metazoa; Arthropoda; Malacostraca; Decapoda; Penaeidae
Exons: 3
Source: RefSeq, a predicted model, not a curated record